Molecule: transfer RNA, 82 nt
Filed under: Phocaeicola sp.
Lineage: Bacteria; Pseudomonadati; Bacteroidota; Bacteroidia; Bacteroidales; Bacteroidaceae
Also listed under: 1 other name
Description: tRNA-Leu
Rfam family: tRNA
About the family: Transfer RNA (tRNA) molecules are approximately 80 nucleotides in length. Their secondary structure includes four short double-helical elements and three loops (D, anti-codon, and T loops).
Source: RNAcentral
GCGCCUGUGGCGUAACUGGCAGCCGCGCCAGACUUAGGAUCUGGUGGAGUAAUCCGUGUAGGUUCGAGUCCUAUCAGGCGCA